Molecule: ribosomal RNA, 253 nt
Filed under: uncultured bacterium
Lineage: Bacteria
Description: partial 16S ribosomal RNA
Rfam family: Bacterial small subunit ribosomal RNA
Source: RNAcentral
CACGUAGGGGGCGAGCGUUGUCCGGAAUCAUUGGGCGUAAAGCGCGUGUAGGCGGUUCGGUAAGUCUGCUGUGAAAGUCGGGGGCUCAACCCUCGAAUGCCGGUGGAUACUGUCGGACUAGAGUGCGGAAGAGGCGAGUGGAAUUCCUGGUGUAGCGGUGAAAUGCGCAGAUAUCAGGAGGAACACCAAUUGCGAAGGCAGCUCGCUGGGACGUUACUGACGCUGAGACGCGAAAGCGUGGGGAGCAAACAGG